GAUGAAUAACGCAGCGAAAUGCGAUACUUGGUGUGAAUUGCAGAAUCCCGUGAACCAUCGAGUCUUUGAACGCAAGUUGCGCCCGAAGCCAUUAGGCCGAGGGCACGCCUGCCUGGGCGUCACACGUCGUUGCCCCCCCCAUCUACUCCUUCGGGAUUGCGGGGGGCGGAUGAUGGCCUCCCGUGUGCCUCGCCGCGCGGUUGGCAUAAAUACCAAGUCCUCGGCGACGCACGCCACGACAAUCGGUGGUUGCGAAACCUCGGUUGCCCGUCGUGUGCGGUCGUCGCGCAUCGAGGGCUCGAAAAAAUUGCCGGGUUCCGGCUCGGCUUUCAACGCGACCCCAGGUCAGGCGGGGUUACCCGCUGAAUUUAAGCAUAUCAAUAAGCGGAGGA
This 392-nucleotide unclassified non-coding RNA is filed under the name soil metagenome. RNAcentral's name for it is "partial contains 5.8S ribosomal RNA, internal transcribed spacer 2, and large subunit ribosomal RNA". The stretch from base 1 to 122 matches the Rfam family "5.8S ribosomal RNA", at positions 35 to 154 of the family's 154-position model. The record is from RNAcentral.